AUGACCCAUUCGGCUUCCCGGCUCCGGCCGCCGCCGUCUUCCCGUGUCCGCCCGCGUCGCGCCCGGGCCGAGGAGCCGUUGAGGGGGUGGGGGGUCCGGGCCGAGGCCCGCUCGUGUGGAAGUCCUCGCGGCCGUCCCGUCAACACGCUGGCGCUCAUCUCCCGCUUGCUGGACUGGUUCCGCUCGCUCUUCUGGAAGGAGGAGCUGGAGCUGCAGUACUCGGGCAAGACCACCUUCGUCAAUGUCAUCGCGUCAGGUCAGUUCAGUGAAGACAUGCUACCCACAGUGGGCUUCAACAUGAGGAAAGUAACUAAAGGUAACGUCACAAUAAAGAUCUGGGACAUUGGAGGACAGCCCCGAUUCCGGAGCAUGUGGGAGCAGUACUGCAGAGGAGUCAAUGCCAUCGUUUACAUGAUAGAUGCUGCAGAUCGUGAAAAGAUAGAACCUUCUCGAAACGAACUACAUAAUCUUCUAGAUAAACCGCAGUUACAAGGAAUUCCAGUACUAGUUCUUGGAAACAAGAGAGAUCUUCCAAAUGCCUUGGAUGAGAAACAGCUAAUUGAAAAAAUGAAUCUGUCUGCUAUUCAGGAUAGAGAAAUUUGCUGCUAUUCAAUUUCUUGCAAAGAAAAGGAUAAUAUAGAUAUCACACUUCAGUGGCUUAUUCAACACUCAAAAUCGAGAAGAAGCUGAGACAUCCAUGAAGUCUUCCAGUCCUUCUUGGCUAUAAUCCUAGAAUUAUUGUCCGUUCCUCUGAAGUACUUCCCAGAAUACGGUCCUUCCUAAACCCAAGAAAUUGCCUUUUUCAGAGUUUAUUUCUCAUGUGCACUGCUGAAG
Molecule: non-coding RNA, 834 nt
Organism: Castor canadensis (American beaver)
Lineage: Eukaryota; Metazoa; Chordata; Mammalia; Rodentia; Castoridae
Source: RefSeq, a predicted model, not a curated record